CUGAGAUAUAUGCAGCCCCAGGUACUUAGGGUGCCUCCUUCUAAUUCAUCUUCACCAUUGUGGUUGUCAAUAUGGCAUGCAGAAUUAUCCCUCUUUCCAGCUUCUGGAGUCUACCUGGAUUCCUGGGCUCAUGGCCCCUUCCUCCAUCUUCAAACCAGCAAUGAUGGAGCUGAGCCUGACACUCUAACCGGUUCUCUGGGUGUACUGCAAAGGUCUAAUAAAAGGCACCUUUGCCCGGUUGCUUCAAUUCUAGGAAGCUGUUCAAUGUUUGACUAUAUUUCUCCAUACUCAUUUGAAAACAGUUCAUCAGAUUGGAACGACCUGGAGCAGCCAGCAGAGUGACAAAUGAGGAAGAGGACAGAAUCUAGCUGAAGAAGCUCUGGAAGAUACCAUUUGAAGUCUUGAGUGCUUGAACUCACAAAGAAAGCACAUGAGUACACACUAGCACUUGAGCUCUUCAUUUUAAACAGAAUAAAGAAUGUACUGCUAUUAUUGUCAUUUUACAGAUAGGGAAAUUCAGACUCACCAGGGCUACUCAGAUACAAAGAAAAUGAGCCAGAAUUUCAAGCAAGCCUGAGCUUAGAAUCUACACUAUUUUUUUUUUUUUUUUUGAGACAUGGUCUUACUUUGUCACCCAGGCUGGAGUUCAGUGGUAUUAGGUUGGCACAAAAGUAAUUGUGGUCUCUGCCACUUAAAACUAGAGCCCGAAACUGCAAUUACUUUUGCACCAACCUAAUGCACUUACCAGAGCUCACUUACGCCUUGACCUCCUGGGCUCAAGUGAUUCUCCCACCUCAGCCUCCCAAGUGGCUGGGAAUGUGGGCAUGCACCACCCUGCCCGGCUAGCUUUUCUUUCUUUUUUUUUUGUGGAGACAGGAUUUUGCCAUGUUGUCCCGGCUGGUCUUUAACUCCUGAGCUCAAACUAUCCUUCUGCCCUGGCCUCCCAAAGUUCUGGGAUUACAGGCAUGAGCCACUGUGCCCGGCCCAGAACCUAUGCUCCUAACUGCCACACCAAUUGACCUCUAUUCAGCCAUUUUUAUUUCUAUAGCACUUGGUAUAAUUUCACUUUGCACACAGUAUCUAUAGAUAAUCAUUCCAGGGCAUGUAAUCGUCAUAAGAUUAUUUAUGUUAUUGCAUGUGUAUUACUGCAUGUAAUCUUCAUGUGUUAUUGCCUCUAACAAGUUAUGUAUUUCCAUGUAGUCUUCAUAACUGUGUAUAGAAGACCAUUUUAGAGAUGGAAAACUGAGACUCAGAAGUGGUAAUUGUCCUACUGGUCAGAGAUUUAGCCAGGGUUUGGAUUGUGGAAUGCAGAGGACCACUUACUUUUCACUAGACCAUAAAUGCUCCUCACCACUGAGGCAUGUCAAAUGCCAGAUAUCUCCAGGAACCUUAGGCUACGUCUCCAUUGUUUUUGCUUUUUCCCCCCUUAGACACAGCUUGGCAAAGAACAAAUGAUCCCAAACACCAAACAGCACACUUGGAAACAUUUAACCCGCAUACUUUCAGACUUUCUGGCAUGGACCAACCUCUUGUCUUACCUUUGUUCCUGGCCAGAAAGAAAUGGCAUGAAAAGAUGGACAGUUUUUAUAACCUCUUUGAGCUCUAAACCAUGUUUCCUGUGCACUUAGGAGAUCUUAAUAGAAACCAAGUACUUCUUUUAGGCAUCUAUACUCUUAAUGCCGUAAGUCAAGUCAAGUACCCAGGUGGUUAAGAUAACUGUACCAACAGAAACAUUUUUAAAAAAUAUCCUAACACAACAUGAAGUGACCAUCGCGAAUUCAAAGAAGCAGGC
RNAcentral lists this long non-coding RNA (1792 nucleotides) under Homo sapiens (human). Its description in RNAcentral is "non-protein coding MAFTRR:8". The record is from RNAcentral. Lineage: Eukaryota; Metazoa; Chordata; Mammalia; Primates; Hominidae.